GACGGGGGGGGCAAGCGUUAAUCGGAAUUACUGGGCGUAAAGCGUGCGCAGGCGGUUAUACAAGACAGAUGUGAAAUCCCCGGGCUCAACCUGGGAAUUGCAUUUGUGACUGUAUGGCUAGAGUGUGUCAGAGGGGGGUAGAAUUCCACGUGUAGCAGUGAAAUGCGUAGAUAUGUGGAGGAAUACCGAUGGCGAAGGCAGCCCCCUGGGAUAACACUGACGCUCAUGCACGAAAGCGUGGGGAGCAAACAGG
Molecule: ribosomal RNA, 253 nt
Filed under: uncultured bacterium
Lineage: Bacteria
Description: partial 16S ribosomal RNA
Rfam family: Bacterial small subunit ribosomal RNA
Source: RNAcentral